This is a long non-coding RNA of Numida meleagris (helmeted guineafowl), 3883 nucleotides long. RefSeq lists it as uncharacterized. The record is from RefSeq and is a predicted model, not a curated record. Lineage: Eukaryota; Metazoa; Chordata; Aves; Galliformes; Numididae. The transcript has 4 exons.
GAAGCUGCCAACAGCUGAAGGUAAGUAUCUGCUCCCUCGGUGUAAUAAAUAGUAGUCAGUACUUAAUAUUUUUCUCAUUUUUCACUCAGGGAUAAAAGAUCUACUGCAGACAUAGGGAACUGAACUGCUGCUGACUGUUGCUGUCUAACAGUUGGCAAUCCUCUUUGAGUUCUUUUACAGCCCACAGUUUCAGAAAAAUAGAUCUAUAGGACCUAACUAAAGGCUGCCAUAGAGUAGUUAAUGACAAGGGAAGAGGGAACAUUUAAGUGCACUUUAUUUAACUCAGCUGAAGACUCAAUUGCAAUGAGUAAUCAUAUAAUACCUAAGUUGAACAGCAGCUUUUGUUGAAAAGUCUAGUUAAAAUAGGUUUUCCAGAGACUUUGUUUCUAAUAACGGAUGAAACUUUUGAGUAAUAGAGAGAAAUUGCCUAUUAAACACUCUUGGAAUUUCCUAUUUUCGUUGCAGAAGACAUAGAAACAGAACUGAUAGCUUCACAGCUCUUAUAUUUGUGACUUAUGAUAUACUAUUUCCCACCUGUCAGGACAGUUUCAAAAGGAAUAUAAACAAUUUAGAAAACAAACAAAAAACCACUUUACAUAUCUUUAGCUCCUCCACCCCACCCCACCCUCUUCUGAUUAAACCUGCUGAAGACCUACUCAUGCUAAAGCAUCCUGACUAUCAAGUAGAUCUGCUUCAGGCUGACUUACCUUGAACAUGAGCUGAAAGUAUCAUAGCCAGUACAUCAUCAGUGUUUCCUAUGUCUUGUUUUAACAGCUACUAACAGAAAGCCUCCAAACGCAAUGAGAAUUCAUCAAGCAGGUUACGAGCUUCAGGAAGCAAAAGCCAGACAACUGAGAAUGUGGAUGCAGCCAAACUCCACCUGCUGUGCUGCACCUUCUUCAGCAAGCUGAGGAAAAAGCAGCUCUGAAAAUAAGAGUCUCAACACUUGUCAGAUCCCGCUGGAAGGAAUUUGCAUGUGUGAAGAGCAGCCUACAUCAGGUGCCCUUGCUGUGAACCCAGGCACGUCACAGUGUGUCUCACAGUUCUGAAUGCAAACUCACAAAGGUCCUCCGCAGCAUAGCUCAUCCCAGUCUUUGAGUCAGGCUGAAUUCAAUUGUCAGCGCUUUACAACACUGUUACAAUUGUUAUUCUGUGGGGCCAAGAUGACCGUGAAAUACAGAGGCAAGCGCACUAGAAACUCUUGCUAAUGAUCAUGUAAUUCAUUUUAGCUUCUAUGUACGCGCAGGUAACUCAUGACAAGCUUUAUUAUGAUGAGUGUAUCUGGAAGACAACGAAACCAUCUCAGCUUCAGGUCAUGUUUCCUAGCUUCACAUCCAAGUUUUCCUAUCAAUAGCAAUUUUAUUUCACAAAGAUACAUAAAAAUCCUAUAAAUCAGAGAAAGAUACUUGGCAGCUGUAGCAUCCAGUAAAAGAAAAGUUUCAAAGUUUAUGCUGUAAAUGAACAAAGGAUGAAGAAUUCUUCCUGUUAGCCCAUGAAGAAAUAUGAACUUGUGUUAGCCUGAAUAGCUUUGUCAUUUAAUUUUAAUGUUACAGUGUUACAGUGUUUAGAGCGAGAAGGUCAGUAGAAAUGUUACACAGAUUUUAUGCAGAAGCAGUAAAACGUUUCUUCUGCGUUGUUCUCUUUGCAGAAUGUAAACUGUUAUUUACAGCACCAGUUUAAGUGGUUUCCAUUUACUUCUGAAGCCUCAAGUCAUAUAAAAAGUUUGACGAGGCCAGUAUGCUCUCCAGGACAGAAAAGAUGGAUGAUUACUGCUCAGUUGGUAUCUCAGGAUAGUAUUCUCCUGUAUGCUGACCAGAAGCAGUCAGAAAAGUCAGAAGGCACCACCCUAGGGCAAAACGCUGUCUCGUUUCCCUUUACAAAUGUAAAGGGUGAAAGAGUAUGGUAGUACAAAUAACAUAAAUUGCAGGUGCUCCAGUAGCGUCAAAAGUUUCACCUCGCGGACACUCUCAUUGUUUCAAAAGACAGGCAUCCGCUUUGGUAGCAGUUGAAGCUAACUUCUGUGUCUUUCUUCUUCAUUUGGUGAAGCUACUAGACAAAUGUGGAGUGUUAAGUCAUGAUGACCGGGGGAGACUUUAUGUGGGAUGUGAGGAAUAGAUCCUUCAGUCUGCCAUCAUCACUUUUAUCAUGAUCGAGACCUGAGUCUUGAUGGGGACAGAAGAAUAGUUAGUUCCACAUCAGCAAGUUUUCCAAAGGGGAAAGCUCAAAGUGUUCUGAAAGUGGUAAAGUGAUCCUGAAACCACACAAAUCCUCUGUUGUGAAUCAGAAGCAGGACAUCAGGUAACAGAUUUGUACCAGAAGGGCAGGAUGCUUCUUCUUUGAGGUUCUUAUCUCUCUUCUGAGAUCAGAAGAAGGAGGAAGCCAUCAGUCCAGCCUCAAGAAGUGCUGGAUAAAAGGCACAAGAAAUCUAAUCACUGCCCCGGUGCUGCUAACUUAAGAUGGUGAGGGACUGUAAGCCAUGCAUGGUCAGUUCGAACAGUUAACUUGAUAGGGGAACAGCAGGCUAUAAAUGAAUGUGUAGACUGUGUGGCAAUAGGUCAGCCAAAGAGGAUGAAUGCUGUGAAGAAAAAUGCACAGGGAGAAAGUGCAAAGUGCUUGCUAAUAAGAUGUGGAGCUGCCGCACUAGUCAUACUGAGAGAAAGGAUCUCAGGAAUAUUAUUAAACAGCUAUAAGAGACAUAUUUGGCAAAUGGUUGAAUUUUCUAGUAAAACAUGUAAUUCUUUAAGAGGAAAGUGUGACAGGAGUUUAUGGCAUCUUGGGUGCUGUGGCUGCUAGAAUAAGAUAGUGGAGGGAUGACAAUUUGCUGCUGAAGUACUUCUUAAAAACUCCAGUUGGUAGAAUAUUAACUUCUUUACAGGUUGAAAAGGCAAAAGAUUGAAAUUGCCUGAGGUUUCCAGGCAAAAUGGGGUAGACAGCAUUUUUCAGGACUCAUAUGGAGACUCAGACCUGUUAACAAACCUGAUUCCUGUGGGAAAUGAGGUGAUUAACUUCCUUCAUAUUGUCAGGCUCCCAGUUUCCAUAUAAAAUGAGUAAUGUGGUCAACCAGUAAUCAGUGGAGUCAGUAAACCUCCCUCAGUGGUCCACGAGGCUUUGCAUGACAACAGAGCAGGAUCUCUUUUAGUAAAUACAGUGAAAACCCGGAGUGCAGGAGUAGAAAACCUGAAAAUGGCUACAGAUAAGGUGGGGAGUGGGAGAUGUUUGUGUGACUCAGUGUACUUCAGGGGUGCUGUUUGGAAAAACAAGGACUUACUGACAGCCUGAGAGGCUCCAAUUGCCAGCUUCCCAGUAGAUUUCUGCACCCCAAAUUGGUUAGUUACUGAUUGGCAGAUUCAGCAUAGCUGCACAAACAAGGCUUCAGAGCAUAAUUAUCACAGUCCUCAUGGCAGACUCAGGUGCCCGGAACACUAUGAGCUGAUGAUGACAGUGGGAGAAUAUUAACUCUUGGCAGAGAUGUCUGGAUGUCAGUGCUCCACUUCAGAAAAAUUUGUGCUCACAUCUGUUUAUAGCAGGCCCAUAUGACUGUGUGGUCCUAGAGGAUGGUGCCGUCUACAGUCCAGAGAGGUCUAUUUGCUUGCUGCAUUCCAUAACCUCAGCACAGGUGGAGAAAGUGGUACCUACCGGAGGCUGAAAUUCUGGUGAACAGAAGUUUCUGUGAAUAAUUCAUCUUGAAACCUAUGCUUAGUGGACCCACGGUGUCUCCUGGGAGACGCUGUUCAGUACUGAAUUAGCAGUAAAGGAAUUCAGAAACAAGGAGCUUGAUUCAGCUGGAAAAAAAAAAAAGCCGUUUAUAAUGAAGCUCUGCAUAUUUCUUCCUAGGGGUUUUUGUUUAUGAAUUAUUCCUUUUAAAAAUGAAAACUAUUAGUUA